GCGGCGGUGGCAGACCAGGAAUGCGCAGGCCUCCAAAACCUGAAGAUGUGGGGGCAGCACCCACCCGCCGUGCCA
RNAcentral lists this transfer RNA (75 nucleotides) under Prosthecobacter debontii. RNAcentral describes it as "tRNA_Pseudo_CCA". It matches the Rfam family "tRNA". Rfam says of the family: Transfer RNA (tRNA) molecules are approximately 80 nucleotides in length. Their secondary structure includes four short double-helical elements and three loops (D, anti-codon, and T loops). Lineage: Bacteria; Pseudomonadati; Verrucomicrobiota; Verrucomicrobiia; Verrucomicrobiales; Verrucomicrobiaceae. The record is from RNAcentral.